AGAAACAACAGUGGCAAACUUAUUCAUUAAAUACAAACAUGAUUAGAAUUAUACAAUGGGUAAGAGUACUUAUAAGUGCUACUACUAUUCGUUGGGUAUAAAAAGAAAUUAAAAAAACUUCUAGAAACUAAAAACUGGCUACAUGUCCUUUUCACAUGUUAUCAUUGCGGAAAAGAUCAUGCAUGUCAUUCAUAGUGUUGUUAAAAUCAUUAUUUUGACGGAUCCAUUUUGCUCUCAUGUGCUUUCUUCUUCUCUUUUGCUCUUGAUCUUGAUUUCUG
This 278-nucleotide long non-coding RNA is filed under the name Lathyrus oleraceus (garden pea). Its description in RNAcentral is "Pisum sativum (pea) long non-coding RNA (PSAT_LNC030620)". Lineage: Eukaryota; Viridiplantae; Streptophyta; Magnoliopsida; Fabales; Fabaceae. The record is from RNAcentral.